UGAAAAGAGAAAGCUGAUUGCCUCUCAA
RNAcentral lists this small RNA (28 nucleotides) under Bombyx mori (domestic silkworm). RNAcentral's name for it is "ovarian small RNA-30343". Lineage: Eukaryota; Metazoa; Arthropoda; Insecta; Lepidoptera; Bombycidae. The record is from RNAcentral.